UGGGGAAUAUUGCACAAUGGGGGAAACCCUGAUGCAGCGACGCCGCGUGAACGAAGAAGGUAUUCGUAUCGUAAAGUUCUGUCCUAUGGGAAGAUAAUGACAGUACCAUAGAAGAAAGCUCCGGCUAAAUACGUGCCAGCAGCCGCGGUAAUACGUAUGGAGCGAGCGUUGUCCGGAAUUAUUGGGCGUAAAGGGUACGCAGGCGGUUUAAUAAGUCGAAUGUUAAAGAUCGGGGCUCAACCCCGCAAAGCAUUGGAAACUGAUAAACUUGAGUAGUGGAGAAGAAAGUGGAAUUCCUAGUGUAGUAGUGAAAUACGUAGAUAUUAGGAGGAAUACCAGUAGCGAAGGCGACUUUCUGGACACAAACUGACGCUGAGGUACGAAAGCGUGGGGAGCAAACAGG
This 403-nucleotide ribosomal RNA is filed under the name bacterium. Its description in RNAcentral is "partial 16S ribosomal RNA". It matches the Rfam family "Bacterial small subunit ribosomal RNA", at positions 355 to 776 of the family's 1533-position model. The record is from RNAcentral.